RNAcentral lists this long non-coding RNA (611 nucleotides) under Elaeis guineensis (African oil palm). RNAcentral's name for it is "long non-coding RNA (EGUI_LNC025596)". The record is from RNAcentral. Lineage: Eukaryota; Viridiplantae; Streptophyta; Magnoliopsida; Arecales; Arecaceae.
GCAUGUCUGCGUGUGGUUGGGCACGUCUGGGCGCGGCGCUCUGCCCAGGCGUGGGCGCGCGGGGCAUGGCCCAAGCACGAGCGCGCGGGCCGGCCCAGGCCCGGGCAUGUGGGGCAUAGCCCAGGCUCGGGCACGCAGGUGCAAGCACGGCCCAGGCCCACAUGCGGGCCGACUCAGGCCCAGGCGCCCGCGGGGAGCCCGUUUGCUCGGUGUGUGGUAUGGUGGCUCAAUUUUUGCUGAUGGCGCGGAAGGCUUCAUGCGGUAACCCAGAGAACAGAACCCACGAAGAGAGAGAGCAUUCGAUGCUGAGAAGAGAAGGAGCAGGGAGGCUCCUGGAUAGCGGACAGCAGUCGCUUUAAGGGUUCAGGGGGAUCUUCCUAGAGAGAGCUUUUGUGAGGGAGAACUUUCUGUGAGAGAAAAAUUGGAUGUACGAGGGUUGAGGAUGAGAUCUCCUCUUGUAAUAUUUAUUUCUCAUAGUGAAAUUUGCAUGCCCCAUGGAGGCGAGUCCUUUUUGACUAAUCCACGUAAUUGAUUAUUUUCUAUUUUAUUUCUUCUUUCUUUCUGCUGCAUCACGUAGUAUCAAAAAGGUCCUAAUAGGUGGUGUCUUGGCC